This 30-nucleotide non-coding RNA is filed under the name Rattus norvegicus (Norway rat). Lineage: Eukaryota; Metazoa; Chordata; Mammalia; Rodentia; Muridae. The record is from RNAcentral.
UGAAAAUUAUACUAGUUUUAGAAUAAUGGG